AAUGGGCGCAAGCCUGAUCCAGCCAUGCCGCGUGAGUGAUGAAGGCCCUAGGGUCGUAAAGCUCUUUCGCCAGGGAAGAUAAUGACGGUACCUGGUAAAGAAACCCCGGCUAACUCCGUGCCAGCAGCCGCGGUAAUACGGAGGGGGUUAGCGUUGUUCGGAAUUACUGGGCGUAAAGCGCGCGUAGGCGGACUAUUAAGUCGAGGGUGAAAUCCCGGGGCUCAACCCCGGAACUGCCUUCGAUACUGGUAGUCUUGAGGUCGAGAGAGGUGAGUGGAACUCCGAGUGUAGAGGUGAAAUUCGUAGAUAUUCGGAAGAACACCAGUGGCGAAGGCGGCUCACUGGCUCGAUACUGACGCUGAGGUGCGAAAGUGUGGGGAGCAAACAGGAUU
Molecule: ribosomal RNA, 392 nt
Filed under: uncultured Gammaproteobacteria bacterium
Lineage: Bacteria; Pseudomonadati; Pseudomonadota; Gammaproteobacteria
Description: bacterial SSU rRNA
Rfam family: Bacterial small subunit ribosomal RNA
Source: RNAcentral